UACGAAGGGUGCAAGCGUUAAUCGGAAUUACUGGGCGUAAAGCGUGCGUAGGCGGUUCGUUAAGUCAGAUGUGAAAGCCCCGGGCUCAACCUGGGAACUGCAUUUGAUACUGGCGAGCUAGAGUGUGGUAGAGGGUGGUGGAAUUCCCGGUGUAGCGGUGAAAUGCGUAGAGAUCGGGAGGAACAUCCGUGGCGAAGGCGGCCACCUGGACCAACACUGACGCUGAGGCACGAAAGCGUGGGGAGCAAACAGG
This 253-nucleotide ribosomal RNA is filed under the name uncultured bacterium. Its description in RNAcentral is "partial 16S ribosomal RNA". It matches the Rfam family "Bacterial small subunit ribosomal RNA", at positions 524 to 776 of the family's 1533-position model. The record is from RNAcentral.